Cyanistes caeruleus (blue tit) is the source of this 687-nucleotide long non-coding RNA. The record is from Ensembl. NCBI's taxonomy places the organism in Eukaryota, Metazoa, Chordata, Aves, Passeriformes, Paridae.
AUGAUUGCUCUACAUUUUUUCUUAUUUACUCAGUUCUUCUUGUUGUGUAGCUAUUUAGGAUGGAUUCACACAUUUCACUUCCCAGUAGCUCCAGUGGAAGAAAAUGGUUGCCCUGGAACGAAGGCAAGUGUGCAACUAAAGACAUCUGAGAGAAAAAGGAGCCUACCAUCUGCCCCAAGGCUCAGAAAAAGAGAAGAUACCAUAUGUGGCCUGACUAUUUUUUUCAUAAAGAAAAGGAAAUGUUAUGAAGUAAUUCCUGCACUGCAGAUGUUAGUCCAGCAAAGCUUUCAUCAGAGCAAGGACCACCUCUCCCCUGCCUUCUUGCAUGAUUACAAGCUUUGAUCUUAGUCUGGGAGCCUUACAUCUCUGCAGUUGACUCCAGUUAAAAAAUACUCCAUCCAAAUAUUGCAACAAAUGUUUAGAUUAAAACCAAAAAUCCCUAUAUCUGCAAAUUUGCACUCAGCCCCCUGCUUUCUUUGAAGAAAAUUUCAAUCCUGUUUCUUCCUGGGCUCUGAUGGGUGGCUCCUGGUUAAUCUCUGUCUGUCUCCCUGGUAACAGUCAAAGGAGAGGACACAGAGGUGGGCAGGGAGCAGCCUCCAGCCACUGUUCCUCUUAUCACAGUCCAUCAGCAGGUGUCCCUUGCUCAUAUCCAGGAACAAUAAAUACAGCCUGUGGCUAAGGGAACCA